RNAcentral lists this long non-coding RNA (1246 nucleotides) under Mytilus galloprovincialis (Mediterranean mussel). The record is from RNAcentral. Lineage: Eukaryota; Metazoa; Mollusca; Bivalvia; Mytilida; Mytilidae.
GGCUUACAACAAUUAUCAUGAAUAAAAACUGCACACGCACCCCUAUACACAGAUUUUUAUCAUGAAAACUUCCUUUUAAAAAUCAAAUGACAGAAUUUACGUGCUUACAACACGUGUUUCUGGUAUACUGUAAAACAAAAUAUUUUCGAGGAUACUUUAUUUCGCAUUUUACCCAGUUCAAUCCACUUCGCGGCUGUUUAAUUUCACGACUUUCUAAAAUAUUUGAUGUACAUGUAAUCUAUUAAGGAAAUAUCCAAGUUUUAUAUAUUCGCGACAUUUUAAUUUCACGUUAUUUUUCUACUCGCGGAAGUCGCGAUAAUAAACCGCUCGCAAAAAUAAGUUGGUAAACAGUUUAAUGAUUGAUCGGCAAUGAAACAUAUAUCGCUAAAUACAAAAUGAAGCAGUGGAGAAAAGAUAUAGGGUAUCAUAUGAUCCCAACAUGGUAAACUACUCAUACCAAAAAUUGCAACGAUUAUAAAGAAAACAACUGACAUGGCAAAAUGUCUAACAAUUCAAAAGUGAAAACCUAGGUAAAACGAAAAAGAAAAAAAAACAACCAUUACAUACAAGAAAACCGAUACCGAAACUCAUAACACUUAUCAGCAAACCAGUUUCUUGAAAUCUUUUUCUCCAAAUCAAUUCAUAACGUUUUUUGAGAGCAUCACAUCAAGAUAAGCAUUUAGUUGAUAAAUGAAAAUACCGUCAAAUGUCAAACAAGACCUAGACAUACAUGAUAAACAUAUCAUUUGAUUCACAAAAAUCCCGCAGAACUGGUAACUAGAUGGAUAGAAAACCUAUUUAACUGAUGGUCUGUCAGUAGUAAUAUCAAUACAGUUUUUAUAACAAAAACUGACUGACUGUUUUUUGUGCGCAUAACAUUUUUUUUAUAAAUAUUCAUCCUGUGUGCACGUGAUAAACACGUGAAAGUCGCACAUAUAGAACACCACACAAUAUCGCUGAUCCCAACUACCAUUCAUAUGGCACCCAUUCCUCUUUAAGCAACGAGGAAUGAAAAUUGAUACACAACAUUGAAGUAGCUACAAAAGGAUAAAACAAUGUGUUGCAAAUGAUAUAGUUGUGAUAGACAAACUAUAAAAAUAUGGAAGCGACAUGCAAAUACAGACGUCAAUCAAGGAGAUGAAAGUAUAAAUCCGAUAGGCACGUGUUGUUGACAUCAAAUUCAAUAGAAGCAUUGAUAAGUAUACAUAUUUAAGAUUUUAAAAAAGAAUAAAAGAAUAUAAAUCAA